AGUGAACGCUGGCGGUAGGCCUAACACAUGCAAGUCGAACGGCAGCACAGUAAGAGCUUGCUCUUACGGGUGGCGAGUGGCGGACGGGUGAGGAAUACAUCGGAAUCUACUUUUUCGUGGGGGAUAACGUAGGGAAACUUACGCUAAUACCGCAUAUGACCUACGGGUGAAAGCAGGGGAUCUUCGGACCUUGCGCGAUUGAAUGAGCCGAGGUCGGAUUAGCUAGUUGGCGGGGGAAAGGCCCACCAAGGCGACGAUCCGUAGCUCGUCUGAGAGGGUGAAGAGACAAACAGGAACUGAAGAACGGCGCAUACUGCGAAGGGAAGGGGCAUGGGGAAAGAUUGGAGAAUGGGGGGAAGCCUGAUCCAACCAAAACGGGUGGGGGAAGAAGGCCUUCGGGUUGUAAAGCCCUUUUGUUGGGAAAGAAAAGCAGCAGGUUAAUACCCCGCUGUUCUGACGGUACCCAAAGAAUAAGCACCGGCUAACUUCGUG
This 492-nucleotide ribosomal RNA is filed under the name uncultured bacterium. RNAcentral describes it as "partial 16S ribosomal RNA". It matches the Rfam family "Bacterial small subunit ribosomal RNA", at positions 29 to 507 of the family's 1533-position model. The record is from RNAcentral.